RNAcentral lists this long non-coding RNA (1420 nucleotides) under Anser brachyrhynchus (Pink-footed goose). Its description in RNAcentral is "lncRNA (ENSABRG00000022238.1)". Lineage: Eukaryota; Metazoa; Chordata; Aves; Anseriformes; Anatidae. The record is from RNAcentral.
GGUUAAUAGACCUGUGCGGGAUUGACUGCAGCAAAAAGGUGGUUUCGUACCCUUCUGCUACUGCUAGAAAAUGUUGUUUCCUCUUUGUUAUUCAUCAGUGUGAGUUGUUCCUCCCAGAGCAGUAAGGGCUGGGGAGGAAAUGGAGACUAGGGCAUCCUCAGGGCUGUCAGAAACAGAAUUUGCUCACCUUUCAGUGCUGUGUGUUUGUGGAAGGGAGCCGUGUCUUCAGCCAGCCCUCAGAGCCCGUGCACGAUACAGGCAAGAACUGAGAUAACUCGUUAUCAUCUGCUCCUUGGUGCUCGCUUUGCUUGUACCUCCCAGCACAACAGCAAAAGCUAAACCUCAAAAUAAGCAGCUGUACGGAUAGUUUGUUUUUGUGCUUUUUCCCUCUGGGCAUCCUCAGGGAUCCCUUUUCCUCCACUGCUUCUGAAACCUGUAUCUGCGGGGCGUUUAGCAUUGCUCACGGUGCAGUUGCUUCCUGGGGCUGUGCGCAGCCAAGCCCUGUGGCUCAGCUCCUCGCCUGGCACCUGCUGCAGGCCACCAGCAUUUGGCCCUACAGAGCAGGUCCUGCACGUGAGACCCAUGUUUUCGCAGCACCUGACUGCAUGUGCCAGAGCCGGUGGGACAAAUAUUUAGUUUAUUUGGCUAGUGAUGUUUGAAGUGAUGUAAUUAUGGCACACCGGUUCUGCAUGUGGAUUCGCAGCUCAGCAGAUCCAUGCACAUCACCUGCCCUUCAUCUGGGAGAGAAGAGGGGCGAGCCACGGCCACUUCGGCAGCUGGAGAUAACAGCCUCACCAGAGCUCACUCCUGAUGGGGAAACACAUCUCUUCCCCGCUCACCUUCUGUCUCAAAUGCUUGAGGCUGUUGCCAUUUUGAGCUUUUCUAAACCCUUUCUGCAGCAACGACGAAACUCAGAUGAAGAAAGUUUUUCAGCUUUGGAGAGUUACGGUGUUUCAGUUGCCCUUUUCAGAAGUGAGAUUGCCAAAGGUAAAGAAAGGAAGAAAUGACAGAAAAAAAGCAUCACUGGUUCUAUUUCAUUCAGCAAAAAGUUCAUUUUAUUUAGCUUUUUUAAGCUCUGCUAUGGAAUUUUCCAGUGUGGGGGGAAAAAAGAAGUGUCUUAAAGCUGAUAUCCUAAAAAUUGAGCAUUUGCUGCUGUGAAAGACUUAUAACUGAGAGAAUUCAGUCUUCCCCUGCACCAGCAUUUGGAUGAUUAACAGGGAAACAGUUCCAAUAAUUCUAUGGAUAACGCUAAGAUCAGGCAGAAUUUGGCUUAUUGCUAUGCUGCUUCUGGAAAUUAUUAUACCCUAUUCAUAUUCAUUAGAUGGCAUGAGUGUAGUUUGCGAUCAAAGGUUAUUAAGAAUCAGAAAACAAGCAGGAGAUUGGGAUUCUCAUUUUCCAGAGAUCGUUUUGAGCUAUCACA